Molecule: long non-coding RNA, 109 nt
Organism: Haliotis rubra (blacklip abalone)
Lineage: Eukaryota; Metazoa; Mollusca; Gastropoda; Lepetellida; Haliotidae
Exons: 4
Source: RefSeq, a predicted model, not a curated record
ACCAUGUAUUUGGUGAAAAUAUAUAUCCUUGUGUAUUCGGUUUUCGGUCAUGUAAGGAUUGUCGACCAACGUAACAUUAAGUGCAUAAAUAAAUCGAUAAUAAGCAAAC